This 304-nucleotide ribosomal RNA is filed under the name uncultured bacterium. RNAcentral describes it as "partial 16S ribosomal RNA". It matches the Rfam family "Bacterial small subunit ribosomal RNA", at positions 506 to 807 of the family's 1533-position model. The record is from RNAcentral.
CAUCAGCCGCCGCGGGAAUACGAAGGGUGCAAGCGUUAAUCGGAAUUACUGGGCGUAAAGCGUGCGUAGGCGGUUUGUUAAGUCUGUUGUGAAAUCCCCGGGCUCAACCUGGGAAUGGCAAUGGAUACUGGCAAGCUAGAGUGUGUCAGAGGAUGGUGGAAUUCCCGGUGUAGCGGUGAAAUGCGUAGAGAUCGGGAGGAACAUCAGUGGCGAAGGCGACUAUCUGGGCCAACACUGACACUGAGGCACGAAAGCGUGGGGAGCAAACAGGAUUAGAUACCCCAGUAGUCCCUGUCUCUUAUAC